CCUGCACACGGAAACUUAAAGUUCCAAAUAAGAAAAAAAAAAGUAUCCUUCCUAGUAAGAAAAGAGCAAACAGAAUGUUAAGGAAAAAUAAAAAGAGAUUCAACCACUGGAAAGUAACGUACUUUAGACAGGCAAAUAUCAGUAGUGGCCUCGGCAUUUUAAGAGCAAGAGCAUAAAUGCAAGGCAAAUUCAUUAAUACAUUCCACACCAGAUAAAUAUAACUAAAGAAAUAGUAACAUAAAGUUCAUUUCGACACCUUGUUAAUUCCAAGAAUAAGAGCAUCAAGUUGAUUUUUCAAUUCAACUAUGCCUUAAUGCCAAACUAGUUAGGGUCUGCUAUAUGGUCAUCCCCAAGUUGAUUCAGUAUCAAAUAUGUCAGUCAUUUAUUUGAAUUUUUCGCAGACCAUAUUUGGAAACUCAGGUAAAAACAUAUAAAAUGUUUUACUUAUUAUCAGCAUUACUAAUUUACUAUAUCCAACUACAACUUGUAUUUUGCUUAUGACUAAAAAUAACAUUGCAAAGAAAUUAGUAAUAAAUUGUGUAAUAGUGACAUGAAAAUCAGGCAAGAAUAUAAUUAUAAUUCAGAAUGUGCUAGCAUCCAAAGACUAAAAAUCUGCUAUUCAUGGCCAGUUACAGGUAUGAAAAAGAAGGAAAACUAUAGGCCAUUCGAAACUAUCACACCAUAUAAGUGACGGAAAACAUUCUGGGAAUAGGAAAAAGAUUAAAGAGAACAGUAGAUAGGUCCAUUGAUUAAAAUAAACCAGUAAUAAUCAAUCCCAUGUACUACUCAAAUGGCAUCAGACCAGACAAUUGCAGUUGCUGAUUAACAAAAUUCUAUCACAUGAUUGGUUCUGCAUUUAUUAUCAAAAAGAAGAAUGAAAUACACUAUUUGGCAUAGUUUUUCUCUUCCAUUUGAGACAAGCACAUUAUCUGUUCAUCUCCUCUUUCAUUGAUGAUGUUGCUUUCAAAUGUUAGAGACUAGAAACACCAGAACAAUAUAUAAAAUGUACAAUUUUUUGACAUUCACAUUUCAACCAUAAAAAGCACUUGCUUAGCGAGAGUGUAUCAGUAUAAUAUAUUUAUCACUAGAAAAUUCUGAUUUCUACAGAUGCUGAACUUACUGUGACAAAGACCAUAUCAGAACCAUAAAGUGCCUCUUCUAU
RNAcentral lists this unclassified non-coding RNA (1162 nucleotides) under Hevea brasiliensis (rubber tree). The record is from RNAcentral. Lineage: Eukaryota; Viridiplantae; Streptophyta; Magnoliopsida; Malpighiales; Euphorbiaceae.